AUCUCGCUUCUCUGUUCUUAUAUUUUUUGUUUUGUGUUUCGAAACGCAGCCCGUUUUGCUACAUCUCCAAAUCAUUUCUCUGGCCUUGGGCCAUGCUUUCGUAUAUGUGGCGCGUCUUGCGUUUAGGGUUACAUGUGCCUCUUGGAUAUUGCCGAUCUACGCCAUCCUCUUUCCAUCGUCUCCGACUUCAGCUCCUCUCUGUAACGUCUUGCUUACUGACUUCGACUUCGAUAACCCUUCCCUUCACAGCCAACGUUACGCUUAGCAAUAAUGUCAAGCAAUAAAAGUGUCCUUCAAUGGAUCUUUCAAUCUACGUACUGACUUCGCUUGACUAUUCAGUAUAAACAUGUACCUCUUGAGAGCAUUUGAAGGAUGCAAGCUGUCUAGAAAAAGUGGUAGACAAACUCAUUCAAUUUUGGGAAGCCUGGAAUGUGAAGAAAAGGGGCUAACUGAUGGGCAUUGAUAUGCUUCUUAUUGAUUCAAAGAUCCAGGUGCAAGAUUCCUUCUUUUGAAUCAGCCUUUCAUUUAUAAAUUGGUGGACAUGACAUUGGCCUCACAAAAGUUUCUGUUGGUCUCACAAAACUAUCAUCCUCUAGAAGAAUUGAAGCCUGGCAAAAGAGUCCAGGAGACAAAACUCUCUCCUGCUGAAGUAGCUAGGACUGCGGUUGAGGUUUGUACCUGAGAAAUAAUAUGAGACCACUACUGUCAGAGUUUCGUAUGAACUAGAAUAUUGUUUUGUUUCGCUAUGAGAUGCAUUAGCUGAAGAGGAAGGCGGCAGGUCUAAGAAGACCACAAAGACUAGGUGGCCUACACCAGGCGUGAAAAAGUUUUAUCAUUCUCACUGUUAUUUUUUGCAUUUGAGCUUUUUUAUGUUUUGAGUUUCAUGAAUAAGUACACGUUGAACAAUUUUCUGAACCAUAUUUUGGGUUGUGUUGGUUUAGCGAAUUUUAUAGGAAUUUAGGAUAUAUCAGCA
Long non-coding RNA from Brassica napus (rape), 973 nucleotides. RefSeq lists it as uncharacterized. The transcript has 3 exons. NCBI's taxonomy places the organism in Eukaryota, Viridiplantae, Streptophyta, Magnoliopsida, Brassicales, Brassicaceae. The record is from RefSeq and is a predicted model, not a curated record.